Molecule: non-coding RNA, 90 nt
Organism: Punica granatum (pomegranate)
Lineage: Eukaryota; Viridiplantae; Streptophyta; Magnoliopsida; Myrtales; Lythraceae
Source: Rfam
GGCCGGUGAUGUAAGAAAAUAUUUGCUACUCUUGAUGGGUGUUUUGAAACACCCACUGAUGAAUUAUUAUCCACCAAGAUCUCUGAGGCC